CCCCAAAAAAAAACGUGUGACAGGUGAAGAAGGUGAAAAAGUGGACGUGUAAACUCUGCGGGGAGAAACAAUCUUUGCUCAAGGAGUUCGGUGGAGGCAGCGCCGCGGACUGCAGACGUCACGUUCAGAAGCUGAACGCCGCCAGGGGCGCCGUGUUGGAAGAGCGAGACGCCCGCUCGCUUCGGCAACAGCCGGAAGAGGAAACGGGAAGUGAAGACCAGCGAGACGGGCACGUGAGAGGACGACCUGCGCAGGCCGGCACGCACGCACAUCAGCAGCCUCUUCAACCCGUGAGCGCGUGCCCGCAGGCGGUCCACGCGCAGGUGAGCCGCUGGCGCCGAUACAUGGCCGCGCCUGAGGAGAAGGACCGAGAUGUCGUUCCAAAGGACAUGCCGCGUUCCCGAGGCAACAGCAUGACGGACAGGUGAUGGGCUUUUUGGGCCACGUCCGCUCCCAAACCAAAUGGGCUUGUCAGACGGCUUCCUAACGCGUUUGUGUGCGCACCUCUCAGGAAGAGGAAGCGUG
Hippocampus comes (tiger tail seahorse) is the source of this 525-nucleotide long non-coding RNA. RefSeq lists it as uncharacterized. The transcript is spliced from 3 exons. The record is from RefSeq and is a predicted model, not a curated record. NCBI's taxonomy places the organism in Eukaryota, Metazoa, Chordata, Actinopteri, Syngnathiformes, Syngnathidae.